GCUGUAGCUCAGUGGUAGAGCAUCUGCUUUAGAUGUAGAAGGUCCCAGGUCCAAUCCCUGGCAUCUCCA
Rhineura floridana is the source of this 69-nucleotide non-coding RNA. The record is from the annotation of a RefSeq genome assembly. Lineage: Eukaryota; Metazoa; Chordata; Lepidosauria; Squamata; Rhineuridae.